CGCCGCGGUAAUACCGGCAGCACAAGUGAUGACCGCUAUUAUUGGGCCUAAAGCGUCCGUAGCUGGCCACGCAAGUCCAUCGGGAAAUCUCUCCGCUCAACGGAGAGGCGUCCGGUGGAAACUGCAUGGCUUGGGACCGGAAGAUCCAGAGGGUACGUCUGGGGUAGGAGUGAAAUCCUGUAAUCCGAGACGGACCACCGGUGGCGAAAGCGCUCUGGAAAGACGGAUCCGACGGUGAGGGACGAAAGCUCGGGUCACGAACCGGAUUAGAUACCCGGGUAGUCCGAGCUGUAAACGAUGUCUGCUAGGUGUGGCACAGGCUACGAGCCUGUGCUGUGCCGUAGGGAAGCCGUGAAGCAGACCGCCUGGGAAGUACGUCUGCAAGGAUGAAACUUAAAGGAAUUGGCGGGGGAGCACUACAACCGGAGGAGCCUGCGGUUUAAUUGGACUCAACGCCGGACAUCUCACCAGCAUCGACAGUGUGCAGUGAAAGUCAGUGUGAUGAGCUUACUGGAGCCACUGAGAGGUGGUGCAUGGCC
Molecule: ribosomal RNA, 539 nt
Filed under: uncultured archaeon
Lineage: Archaea
Description: bacterial SSU rRNA
Rfam family: Archaeal small subunit ribosomal RNA
Source: RNAcentral